This is a non-coding RNA of Bactrocera oleae (olive fruit fly), 964 nucleotides long. NCBI's taxonomy places the organism in Eukaryota, Metazoa, Arthropoda, Insecta, Diptera, Tephritidae. The record is from RefSeq and is a predicted model, not a curated record.
AUACAAUUUACUACUCAAGAAGAAUAAAAAAAGCGUAAUUUCACUAAAACCAGGGAUAAAGGGACGCUUAUUGCAGUGUGAGAGCGCUUCAAAAUUAGUGUCUUUUAUAACAUUUUGCAUUGUAGCCAGAUCAGUCAAAAUAAAAAUUGUUGGACAUUUAAACUAAAACACCCAACAUUUAUUAAGAUUAAAAUUAUUAUAUAUAUAUCCGAUUAACACAUGGAGGAACUAUUAAAAUCCUUUUUUGUGAUUUUGUGAUAUUUUAAAACAACCGGUUUUUGAACAUUCAAUAGUUAAGAGAGUUGAGCAUUCCUUCAUCUCUGCUACAAAUUUGGCUUUUAGAGAGAGGCGUCCUGAACAGUUUUCCUGACAUUAUUUCAACACGAAUGCGAUUUGUUAACGUCUAUGCAAAAGAUGACCAAUGACCAGAUGACCGAUGUGAAUCGUCGCACCAAUGUUAGUUCCUAUGCUGUAAUAGCUGAAAUGUAGGAUUUUAAACAAAAUCAUGUUACACAAAUGAAACAGGCGCUUAAAUCUUUUAUAGUCGAGUUUUUGACAAGAAACCUGCGAAAAAAUAAUGUAUUACAUGGUGUAUAACCGUGAUGAAGGGGCCGAAUCAUAUUGUUUAAAUAGAUACACAAUUUAUGGAGGAUCACACACCACUGAUUUAUAAUUAGAGCCGCUUUAUUUUUAAGAAAAGCUCCGUAUCUCGAUAUAUUUUAUACAAGUAAUAAGUUUUGAUUUAUUCCGUCAUAUAAGAACAGUGUUUUAUAAUAAUUCUUCCGGAUAGAGUGGUGUGUACAUGCAGAGGGAGACUAAACUCAUUUAACCAGAUAUUUUGUAUGCAUGUAGCUUUAUAAUUGUAGUAUAUAUAAAUAUAUUGUUAAAUGUACUUCUUUAAGUAUACAAUUUAAGUGUUAAUACUUAUAUUUAACCUAUAUACAUAUGUGUAACAUAGUAUAUA